CUGGUGGCUGAGAGGGUAAAGUGUCUGUCUGCAAUACAGGAGACCUGGGUUCUAUCCCGAGUCAG
RNAcentral lists this transfer RNA (65 nucleotides) under Ovis aries (sheep). It matches the Rfam family "tRNA". Rfam says of the family: Transfer RNA (tRNA) molecules are approximately 80 nucleotides in length. The record is from Rfam by way of RNAcentral. Lineage: Eukaryota; Metazoa; Chordata; Mammalia; Artiodactyla; Bovidae.